GACGAACGCUGGCGGCGUGCUUAACACAUGCAAGUCGAACGAAGAGCGAUGGAAGCUUGCUUCUAUCAAUCUUAGUGGCAAACGGGUGAGUAACGCGUAAUCAACCUGCCCUUCAGAGGGGGACAACAGUUGGAAACGACUGCUAAUACCGCAUACGAUCUAAUCUCGGCAUCGAGGAUAGAUGAAAGGUGGCCUCUACAUGUAAGCUAUCACUGAAGGAGGGGAUUGCGUCUGAUUAGCUAGUUGGAGGGGUAACGGCCCACCAAGGCGAUGAUCAGUAGCCGGUCUGAGAGGAUGAACGGCCACAUUGGGACUGAGACACGGCCCAGACUCCUACGGGAGGCAGCAGUGGGGAAUCUUCCGCAAUGGACGAAAGUCUGACGGAGCAACGCCGCGUGAGCGAUGACGGCCUUCGGGUUGUAAAGCUCUGUUAAUCGGGACGAAAGGCCUUCUUGCGAAUAGUGAGAAGGAUUGACGGUACCGGAAGAGAAAGCCACGGCUAACUACGUG
This 510-nucleotide ribosomal RNA is filed under the name uncultured bacterium. RNAcentral describes it as "partial 16S ribosomal RNA". It matches the Rfam family "Bacterial small subunit ribosomal RNA", at positions 28 to 507 of the family's 1533-position model. The record is from RNAcentral.